Molecule: long non-coding RNA, 1452 nt
Filed under: Homo sapiens (human)
Lineage: Eukaryota; Metazoa; Chordata; Mammalia; Primates; Hominidae
Description: long non-coding RNA NONHSAT162674.1
Source: RNAcentral
CCACUACCAACUCCUUUCAUGUCAAGUGGGAUGAAGUGUCUACAGUUGAGGGCUAUCUUUUGCAGUUGAGUACAGACUUGCCAUACCAAGCUGCAUCAUCAGAUUCUUCAGCAGCACCAAAUAUGCAAGGAGUCAGGAUGGACCCUCACAGACAAGGCAGUAAUAACAUCGUUCCUAACAGUAUCAAUGAUACAAUAAACAGCACAAAAACUGAACAGCCAGCCACAAAAGAAACUUCAAUGAAAAACAAACCAGACUUUAAAGCACUGACGGAUUCUAAUGCCAUUUUAUAUCCAUCUUUGGCAUCAAAUGCUUCUAAUCAUAAUAGUCAUGUGGUGGAUAUGCUAAGGAAAAAUGAAGGUCCUCACACUUCAGCAAAUGUAGGUGUUCUAAGUAGUUGCCUGGAUGUAAGAACAGUAAUUCCUGAAACAUCUGUAUCCAGUACUGUUUCCAGCACACAAACUAUGGUAACCCAGCAGACCAUUAAAACUGAAUCAUCCAGUACAAAUGGGGCAGUUGUUAAAGAUGAAACUUCACUAACAACAUUCAGUACCAAAUCUGAAGUUGAUGAAACAUAUGCACUGCCUGCAACGAAGAUCAGCCGUGUAGAGACACAUGCUACAGCAACGCCGUUUUCUAAAGAGACUCCUUCAAAUCCAGUGGCCACAGUGAAAGCGGGAGAACGACAAUGGUGUGAUGUGGGAAUUUUUAAAAAUAAUACAGCUUUGGUGAGCCAGUUUUAUUUGCUGCCAAAAGGGAAGCAAAGCAUCUCAAAGGUAGGAAAUGCAGAUGUACCUGACUACAGCUUGCUUAAGAAACAAGAUCUUGUUCCAGGCACAGGAUACAGAUUCAGGGUUGCUGCAAUCAAUGGUUGUGGGAUAGGUCCUUUCAGCAAAAUCAGUGAAUUUAAAACUUGUAUUCCUGGUUUUCCUGGAGCUCCUUCUGCAGUCAGAAUUUCAAAGAAUGUUGAAGGUAUCCACCUUUCCUGGGAACCUCCAACCUCACCUUCUGGAAAUAUUUUGGAAUAUUCAGCCUACUUGGCUAUCCGCACAGCACAGAUACAAGAUAAUCCAAGUCAACUUGUGUUCAUGAGGAUUUAUUGUGGUCUUAAGACAUCAUGUAUAGUAACUGCUGGGCAACUUGCAAAUGCACAUAUUGAUUAUACAUCCAGGCCUGCCAUUGUGUUCAGGAUAUCAGCAAAGAAUGAAAAGGGAUAUGGACCAGCUACACAAGUUCGGUGGCUUCAAGGUAACAAUAAGAAAGCACCUUUAAAUUGAAUUGGUUUUUUUACUGAAGCUAUUGUGAUGAUGAUUAUUUAUUAGUAACUGGUUAUGAAGAUUUGUCAUUUAAAAGAGUAUUCUCUGGCUGUAUUUCCAGCAGUUAUGAACUUGAGUUUGUAAAUUGUUCUUAAAAUGUAUUUGCUGAAUUAUAGAUCCAAAUAAAAGAAAAGAA